UACGAAGGGGGCUAGCGUUGCUCGGAAUCACUGGGCGUAAAGGGUGCGUAGGCGGGUUUUUAAGUCAGAGGUGAAAUCCUGGAGCUCAACUCCAGAACUGCCUUUGAUACUGGCGAUCUUGAGUCCGGGAGAGGUGAGUGGAACUCCGAGUGUAGAGGUGAAAUUCGUAGAUAUUCGGAAGAACACCAGUGGCGAAGGCGGCUCACUGGCCCGGUACUGACGCUGAGGUGCGAAGCGUGGGAGCAACAGGG
RNAcentral lists this ribosomal RNA (251 nucleotides) under uncultured bacterium. RNAcentral describes it as "partial 16S ribosomal RNA". It matches the Rfam family "Bacterial small subunit ribosomal RNA", at positions 524 to 776 of the family's 1533-position model. The record is from RNAcentral.